GACGAACGCUGGCGGCGUGCUUAACACAUGCAAGUCGAACGGAAAGGCCCUGCUUUUGUGGGGUGCUCGAGUGGCGAACGGGUGAGUAACACGUGAGUAACCUGCCCUUGACUUUGGGAUAACUUCAGGAAACUGGGGCUAAUACCGGAUAGGAGCUCCUGCUGCAUGGUGGGGGUUGGAAAGUUUCGGCGGUUGGGGAUGGACUCGCGGCUUAUCAGCUUGUUGGUUGGGUAGUGGCUUACCAAGGCUUUGACGGGUCGCCGGCCUGAGAGGGUGACCGGCCACCUUGGGACUGAGAUACGGACCAGACUCCUACGGGAGGCAGCAGUGGGGAAUAUUGCACAAUGGGCGGAAGCCUGAUGCAGCAACGCCGCGUGCGGGAUGACGGCCUUCGGGUUGUAAACCGCUUUCGCCUGUGACGAAGCGUGAGUGACGGUAAUGGGUAAAGAAGCACCGGCUAACUACGUG
RNAcentral lists this ribosomal RNA (468 nucleotides) under uncultured bacterium. RNAcentral describes it as "partial 16S ribosomal RNA". It matches the Rfam family "Bacterial small subunit ribosomal RNA", at positions 28 to 507 of the family's 1533-position model. The record is from RNAcentral.